AUUGAACGCUGGCGGCAUGCCUUACACAUGCAAGUCGAACGGCAGCACGGGGGCAACCCUGGUGGCGAGUGGCGAACGGGUGAGUAACAUAUCGGAACGUGCCCUGGAGUGGGGGAUAACUAGUCGAAAGAUUAGCUAAUACCGCAUACGAUCUACGGAUGAAAGUGGGGGAUCGCAAGACCUCAUGCUCGUGGAGCGGCCGAUAUCUGAUUAGCUAGUUGGUGGGGUAAAGGCCUACCAAGGCAUCGAUCAGUAGCUGGUCUGAGAGGACGACCAGCCACACUGGGACUGAGACACGGCCCAGACUCCUACGGGAGGCAGCAGUGGGGAAUUUUGGACAAUGGGCGCAAGCCUGAUCCAGCAAUGCCGCGUGAGUGAAGAAGGCCUUCGGGUUGUAAAGCUCUUUUGUCAGGGAAGAAACGGUGAGGGCUAAUAUCCUUUGCUAAUGACGGUACCUGAAGAAUAAGCACCGGCUAACUACGUGCCAGCAGCCGCGGUAAUACGUAGGGUGCAAGCGUUAAUCGGAAUUACUGGGCGUAAAGCGUGCGCAGGCGGUUGUGCAAGACCGAUGUGAAAUCCCCGGGCUUAACCUGGGAAUGGCAUUGGUGACUGCACGGCUAGAGUGUGUCAGAGGGGGGUAGAAUUCCACGUGUAGCAGUGAAAUGCGUAGAGAUGUGGAGGAAUACCGAUGGCGAAGGCAGCCCCCUGGGAUAACACUGACGCUCAUGCACGAAAGCGUGGGGAGCAAACAGGAUUAGAUACCCUGGUAGUCCACGCCCUAAACGAUGUCAACUAGUUGUCGGGUCUUAAUUGACUUGGUAACGCAGCUAACGCGUGAAGUUGACCGCCUGGGGAGUACGGUCGCAAGAUUAAAACUCAAAGGAAUUGACGGGGACCCGCACAAGCGGUGGAUGAUGUGGAUUAAUUCGAUGCAACGCGAAAAACCUUACCUACCCUUGACAUGGCAGGAAUCCCGGAGAGAUUCGGGAGUGCUCGGAAGAGAACCUGCACACAGGUGCUGCAUGGCUGUCGUCAGCUCGUGUCGUGAGAUGUUGGGUUAAGUCCCGCAACGAGCGCAGCCCUUGUCAUUAGUUGCUACGAAAGGGCACUCUAAUGAGACUGCCGGUGACAAACCGGAGGAAGGUGGGGGUGACGUCAAGUCCUCAUGGCCCUUAUGGGUAGGGCUUCACACGUCAUACAAUGGUACAUACAGAGGGCCGCCAACCCGCGAGGGGGAGCUAAUCCCAGAAAGUGUAUCGUAGUCCGGAUUGCAGUCUGCAACUCGACUGCAUGAAGUUGGAAUCGCUAGUAAUCGCGGAUCAGCAUGUCGCGGUGAAUACGUUCCCGGGUCU
RNAcentral lists this ribosomal RNA (1352 nucleotides) under uncultured bacterium. RNAcentral describes it as "bacterial SSU rRNA". It matches the Rfam family "Bacterial small subunit ribosomal RNA", at positions 28 to 1381 of the family's 1533-position model. The record is from RNAcentral.